Molecule: ribosomal RNA, 253 nt
Filed under: uncultured bacterium
Lineage: Bacteria
Description: partial 16S ribosomal RNA
Rfam family: Bacterial small subunit ribosomal RNA
Source: RNAcentral
GACGAACCGAGCGAACGUUGUUCGGAAUCACUGGGCUUAAAGGGCGCGUAGGCGGGUAUUCAAGUCUGUGGUGAAAUCCGGCAGCUCAACUGUCGAAUUGCCGCGGAUACUGGGUAUCUCGAGGGAGGUAGGGGCGUGCGGAACUAAUGGUGGAGCGGUGAAAUGCGUUGAUAUCAUUAGGAACUCCGGUGGCGAAGGCGGCACGCUGGACCUCUUCUGACGCUGAGGCGCGAAAGCCAGGGGAGCAAACGGG